GACGAAUGCUGGCGGCGUGCUUAACACAUGCAGGUCGAACGGAAAGGCCCUGCUUUUGUGGGGUGCUCGAGUGGCGAACGGGUGAGUAACACGUGAGUAACCUGCCCUUGACUUUGGGAUAACUUCAGGAAACUGGGGCUAAUACCGGAUAGGAGCUCCUGCUGCAUGGUGGGGGUUGGAAAGUUUCGGCGGUUGGGGAUGGACUCGCGGCUUAUCAGCUUGUUGGUGGGGUAGUGGCUUACCAAGGCUUUGACGGGUAGCCGGCCUGAGAGGGUGACCGGCCACAUUGGGACUGAGAUACGGCCCAGACUCCUACGGGAGGCAGCAGUGGGGAAUAUUGCACAAUGGGCGGAAGCCUGAUGCAGCAACGCCGCGUGCGGGAUGACGGCCUUCGGGUUGUAAACCGCUUUCGCCUGUGACGAAGCGUGAGUGACGGUAAUGGGUAAAGAAGCACCGGCUAACUACGUG
RNAcentral lists this ribosomal RNA (468 nucleotides) under uncultured bacterium. Its description in RNAcentral is "partial 16S ribosomal RNA". It matches the Rfam family "Bacterial small subunit ribosomal RNA", at positions 28 to 507 of the family's 1533-position model. The record is from RNAcentral.